Molecule: ribosomal RNA, 857 nt
Filed under: uncultured bacterium
Lineage: Bacteria
Description: bacterial SSU rRNA
Rfam family: Bacterial small subunit ribosomal RNA
Source: RNAcentral
GACGAACGCUGGCGGCGUGCUUAACACAUGCAAGUCGAACGAUGAACUGGAGCUUGCUCCAGGGAUUAGUGGCGAACGGGUGAGUAACACGUGAGUAACCUGCCCUUGACUCUGGGAUAAGCGCUAGAAAUGGCGUCUAAUACCGGAUACGAGCUUCAGCCGCAUGGCUAGGAGUUGGAAAGAAUUUUGGUCAAGGAUGGACUCGCGGCCUAUCAGCUAGUUGGUGAGGUAAUGGCUCACCAAGGCGACGACGGGUAGCCGGCCUGAGAGGGUGACCGGCCACACUGGGACUGAGACACGGCCCAGACUCCUACGGGAGGCAGCAGUGGGGAAUAUUGCACAAUGGGCGAAAGCCUGAUGCAGCAACGCCGCGUGAGGGAUGACGGCCUUCGGGUUGUAAACCUCUUUUAGUAGGGAAGAAGCGAAAGUGACGGUACCUGCAGAAAAAGCACCGGCUAACUACGUGCCAGCAGCCGCGGUAAUACGUAGGGUGCAAGCGUUGUCCGGAAUUAUUGGGCGUAAAGAGCUCGUAGGCGGUUUGUCGCGUCUGCUGUGAAAUCUGGGGGCUCAACCCCCAGCCUGCAGUGGGUACGGGCAGACUAGAGUGCGGUAGGGGAGAUUGGAAUUCCUGGUGUAGCGGUGGAAUGCGCAGAUAUCAGGAGGAACACCGAUGGCGAAGGCAGAUCUCUGGGCCGUAACUGACGCUGAGGAGCGAAAGCAUGGGGAGCGAACAGGAUUAGAUACCCUGGUAGUCCAUGCCGUAAACGUUGGGAACUAGAUGUGGGGGCCAUUCCACGGUCUCCGUGUCGCAGCUAACGCAUUAAGUUCCCCGCCUGGGGAGUACGGCCGCAAGGCUA